Molecule: small nucleolar RNA, 106 nt
Filed under: Theobroma cacao (cacao)
Lineage: Eukaryota; Viridiplantae; Streptophyta; Magnoliopsida; Malvales; Malvaceae
Description: Plant small nucleolar RNA R71
Rfam family: Plant small nucleolar RNA R71
About the family: R71 is a member of the C/D box family of snoRNAs containing the C (UGAUGA) and D (CUGA) box motifs. Multiple nearly identical copies of this snoRNA have been identified in Arabidopsis, and it is thought to function as a 2'-O-ribose methylation guide for 18S ribosomal RNA.
Source: Rfam by way of RNAcentral
AGCCCAUGGUGUGGAUGUCUUAUAAGCAGAUCCUUAAAUCUUUCCGAAGCUCCAUACAAGGAUUCACCAUCAAUUGUGUAAAACCAAUUAUAUCAUUCCUCACCUU